This 253-nucleotide ribosomal RNA is filed under the name uncultured bacterium. RNAcentral describes it as "partial 16S ribosomal RNA". It matches the Rfam family "Bacterial small subunit ribosomal RNA", at positions 524 to 776 of the family's 1533-position model. The record is from RNAcentral.
UACGUAUGGUGCAAGCGUUAUCCGGAUUUACUGGGUGUAAAGGGAGCGUAGGCGGGCUUUAAAGUGAGAUGUGAAAUACUCGGGCUCAACUUGGGUGCUGCAUUUCAAACUGGAAGUCUAGAGUGCAGGAGAGGAGAAUGGAAUUCCUAGUGUAGCGGUGAAAUGCGUAGAGAUUAGGAAGAACACCAGUGGCGAAGGCGAUUCUCUGGACUGUAACUGACGCUGAGGCUCGAAAGCGUGGGGAGCAAACAGG